RNAcentral lists this small RNA (108 nucleotides) under Pantoea ananatis. RNAcentral's name for it is "Pseudoknot of the domain G(G12) of 23S ribosomal RNA". It matches the Rfam family "Bacterial large subunit ribosomal RNA", at positions 2309 to 2416 of the family's 2925-position model. The record is from RNAcentral. Lineage: Bacteria; Pseudomonadati; Pseudomonadota; Gammaproteobacteria; Enterobacterales; Erwiniaceae.
CACGAAGGUUGGCUAAUCCUGGUCGGACAUCAGGAGGUUAGUGCAAUGGCAUAAGCCAGCUUGACUGCGAGAGUGACGGCUCGAGCAGGUGCGAAAGCAGGUCAUAGU